GAAUAAAGUUCCUACGUCUACACUCAAAACACUCUUAUUCUUUUUGAUACAAAGCCUCACAAACUGUAACUCUCAUUUUUUUUUGUUACACUAUAAAUCACUCAGACUAACAAUGUUUUGAAUGAGACUAUUACAUAAGUCUUGUGUUUGUGAAGCAGCCCUUUUAUAGCGUUUUAGGCUCUUCACGCAGAGAGAUCAACCCAAGGGAUUUGAUCCUUGGAAAUGGAAUUAACGAUCCUAUUUCCAAGAAUAAGACUGAGCUUUUGCUGCUUUCCUUGUGCGUCAAGGCAGCAUUAUCAUUCAUCAAGAUUAUUACACUUCAUGAGAUAUGCCUUUCAAUGUUGGAGAUGGCCUUUCCUUCUUUGAAACGAUUUGAUGCUGCUGGAAUAUUUCUUCUUUAAUGUUGUAGAUAUCUUUUCCUUUCUUGAAUGAUUUUGUACUGCUGAAGAGUACUGCUGUUAGCAACGUUAGGGCUGGGAAGUCAUUACUUGAGUGAGCCCAGCUUGUUGGGGCUGUUUUGUGGGCUCCCAUCUUGUUGGGGCUGCUUUGUGGGCUCACAUAUAUUCCUUGUGCGAUUUAAUUACUAUACCUGCACAAGUAAAAUUAUCAUCAUAAAAACUUGACACUAACAACCACCUCACCAGCAGAAUCAGCAGCACUAGUAGAAGAAUCAGUAGGUACUGCUAACUGAGUUCGUUUUCGAUCUUCAAGUAUAGUAAUUCUUUUUAUGGUAUCUUCUGCAAUUAAUAUGCAAACUGAAAAGAGAGCUCUUUAAGUCCAGUAUGUUGUUGUUGUAUGCUAUGGUGUUUCUUGCAUGAUGAUUGGUCUCGAAAAGGCUAAUAAGCUUGACUUUUUUAAGCUGCAAUUUAAUUUCGAUGAGCUGUUUGCGUAAUUAUAGUGCCCACGUGUGGGAUUACUCUGGGUAUGUUGUUGUUGUUGUUUGCAUAAUUGUAGUGCAUAAUUGCAUAACCGGUUUCAUUUUCAAUCUUCAAGUGUAGCUAACUCUAUUGAUUGUCUAAGCUCAUUCGAAUCAUAGCAAUUCUUGGUUAAGGGGAUGUCUUUGUAGAGUAUAUUCUGCAAUUAAUUUGGAAACUGAGAAUGCAGGUCUUUAAGUCUAGUAUGAGCUACUAUUAGUACUUCUUGGAUAAGAUAAGCUAUUUUAUUUUCAGUAAUGAUGUUAUUGGUGAGUUUCUUGCAUGAUGAUUGGCUUGGAUUAGGCUAAUUGACAUAUAAACUCGAUCUUCUUAAGCUGCAAUUUAAUUUCGACGAGCUGUUUGUGUAAUUCCACUGCAACAUUGAUGAACAAUUUUAAUUAUUGUUGUGUGAAUUGAUUGAAGAGCAUUUCAUGGAAGAUGGGCCUAUAUGCCUAUGAUGAACUUAUUUUUGUGAAAGAUAUAUCUGUCUCUGAUCAUUUGUUUUUUGCGAUGAAGGUAGUGAUACUAUGUCAUCUGAACAGGAACUGUUUUUUGGUACUGUCUUAUGUUGCAUUUAAGUUUGUCAAUCUUUAAAUCCAAUUUGUGCUUGAUGUAUGAUGUUGUCCCUUGAUGGAUCUGGAAGGUGUGGAUGAAAAGUGCUCUGGUUUUGAUAGUGAUAUAGGUUUUGAACAGACCUAGAGGUCUUGGAAAUAUAUGAUUGACACUGAAUUUUGGCUAGAUUUUGAAUAAACUUCUUUAUUAACAUGGUGUUGUAUCACAAAGUGUUGAAGCUCUCCCUUUGUCUUAGAUUUUUUGACCUACUAUUUUGUUCCAUCCUGUAAAAGAUAUCUUUGCUUGAAUGGGAAAGUCCAUGCUGAUGGAGUAUCCACUUGUAAUAUUUUCACAUUGCAAUUUUAUUAUAAUUUAUAAAAUAUAUGUAAGAAACUCAAAUAUACUCUCUCCGUUCACUUUUACCUGUCCACUAUUCCCUUUAUAGAUUUUCAUUUUUACUUGUCAAUUUUCACAUAUCAAAGUAAGACAAAAAAAAAAAACUUGUUUUACCCUUAGCAUUUAUUACUCAUUUCAAAUCAUUUUCCCAACUCCAAUACAAUUAUAUAUCAUUUAAUAGGGGUAUUGUGGUAAAAAUACAUAUCUUAAUCAUUGUUUCUUAAAUAGCGUGACAAGUAAAAGUGAACGGAGGGAGUAAUAAACUUAUUGCACAUUUUUUCUAUUAAUCUCCGUGAAAAGAACAGGCAGAUCAACUAAAAUGAGGUGUAAUUGUUCUUGAAGCUGAAGUGUUUUAGUAUGCUGGGUUCUUAGGUUAUCCAUUUUGCAUCAACUUUUAGGUUACAUAAUUAUGGAUGAUCUACUAACGAGCUAUGCAUCUUGUUUGAGCGUUUGAAUAAUUUGCGGUAGACCAGAAUGGAAUUGACUGCAUUGCGAUAUCCUAUUAUGAUGAUAGAACUAAUAUGCUAGUCUGGAGUAAUACUGCGGAAGUUGUAAUUCUUCCAACCAUUGUAGACUCUCCUUUUGAGAUGGAAUCAUUGUAGAAUCUCUUGCAAAAGAAUUUGGGUUGGAAUGAUUAACAACCCAAGAAACUGUAAAGGCUCUGUAGUAUUUCGUCUAAACAACAACAACAACAACAACAACAUACCCAGUGUAGUCCCACAAGUGGUGUCUGCCAAGGCUUUAGAGGUUAGGUGAAUCCUGUAUUUGUAGAUAGCAACCCGGGCUACUGCAGUGUGGCCAGACCAUGAGCUUUCCUCUUUACUCAAAUUGCACUUGGUACUCUUUGAUUGGCUUUAAAGACAACACUAACAGUUUUUGCUUGGAUUCUUUCUAUCAUAUGGUACCCUGCUUCUCAAUGUUGUUGUAUUACUAGCACUUCAGUAGGUAAUAGCCUUUUUUUCUUUGUAAGCUCAUCUGUCUCUAAUCAUUUGGUUGUUGCAGUUAAGGUAGUGAUUUUAUAGGAUCCAAACAGUAAAUUAUUUUUGGUACUGGUUUAUGUUGAAUUUAAGUACGUGAAUCGAGAAAUCCAGAUGGUGCUUGAUGUACAAUGUUGUCUCUUGAUGGAUCUGGCAGGUGUGGAUGGAAAAUGCUCUGGUUUUGAAUAGUGCUACAGGUUGUGAACAGACCUAGAGAGUACUGAAGCUCUCCCUUCGUCCUUGCUUUUUUGUCGCUUGAACGGGAAGUCCAUCGUGAAGAAGAUAAUCCACUUACAAGCAGGUCAAUUGAAAUGAGGUGGGAGGGUAAUUGUUCUUGCUAGCUGAAGUUCUGUAGUAUGCUGGCCUGCUGGGCUCCUAGAUUGUCCUUUUUUUUCGAGAAAGGGCUUGCUCUGUAAAGGUCAAUUAGUCAUUAGCUUCUCCUGCUUACCUCAAUGAAGAUUAUUUUAGAUCCUUUCUCUAGCAAAGAAUCACUCGGCUAAGGAUUUGGUGUUUGGUGAUCAGUCUCUGGGGCUAUAUUUGAUGGGGGUAGAGUGACAUUUUCGUUCAAAGAGCUUGUAAUUGUUCGAGACUGGAAGUUUCAAACUAAUGUUCUUAGGAGUACAUGCCAAACUUUUCCCCUUUUGACAUUUAAUACUGCUUUCUGAGAUGACUUAAUGAACAUUAUAGUCGUUUGGUCAA
Lycium barbarum (goji berry) is the source of this 3538-nucleotide long non-coding RNA. RefSeq lists it as uncharacterized. Lineage: Eukaryota; Viridiplantae; Streptophyta; Magnoliopsida; Solanales; Solanaceae. The record is from RefSeq and is a predicted model, not a curated record. The transcript is spliced from 4 exons.